Trichomycterus rosablanca is the source of this 760-nucleotide long non-coding RNA. RefSeq lists it as uncharacterized. NCBI's taxonomy places the organism in Eukaryota, Metazoa, Chordata, Actinopteri, Siluriformes, Trichomycteridae. The record is from RefSeq and is a predicted model, not a curated record. The transcript is spliced from 3 exons.
UUUUAUCUGCUUGGUUUUAACAUAUGCGAUGUGCUAUGUGCCUAUGUAUGUUAUACUGUCGAGUAAAUCGUUACUAUUGGUAGUCGCACGCCGUUAGCAUUAGCGUUAGCCCAAACAAACUUGGUUGCCAUGGUCGUUGAAUUCUAUGAAUGAAUGCUAUGCUAUGCUAGGUGAUUGUGUAGGUCAUUGUGUUAAUGUAAGUGGAAACACUUAGUGAAAUGAAGAAUGAGCUGUGUUAAUGUUUUCAGUUCAUUGAACAGCACUUUAAUUGCAGUAUGCACUUUUAAAUAGAAUCGGAUGUUUGUACCGUGCCCAGGUUUCCCCUAGGCCUGAGGCCGGUAACAUAGGCAUGGAGAGGCCAGGACUACAGAGACAGGACAGUGUGAAUUCGAGAGCAAUCCCCUGCUCCAUCAUUUUCUGCUGGAUCUGAGGAACAGAAGAUGCUUUAUUACUAUAUAAUGCAGGAUGAAGAAACUGAUGUGCUGGGAUUAGUUUAUAACUGGUAGAGAAAGUAGAUCCAGCAGCAGCAGACGAUGAUUACACCUCAGCCUGUGGAUCAGACCCUGAUGGAGACCUGCUACUUUAAAAAGGAGGAACUGUCCCAGCAGAACCUUGUAAAGAAACCCACCUUCUGCAAGAUUCCAUCCUGUACUGCAGGAUCGUUCAUGUCCUCAUUCGUCUGAACCUUUAACCUCAGGACGUGGUCCUUUGUGACUGGUUAAACACAAAAAACAGAUACCAAUGAAACUAAUAUUAUAAA